Molecule: ribosomal RNA, 388 nt
Filed under: uncultured soil bacterium
Lineage: Bacteria
Description: bacterial SSU rRNA
Rfam family: Bacterial small subunit ribosomal RNA
Source: RNAcentral
AGAUUGAACGCUGGCGGCAUGCCUUACACAUGCAAGUCGAACGGCAGCACGGGAGCAAUCCUGGUGGCGAGUGGCGAACGGGUGAGUAAUAUAUCGGAACGUGCCCAGUCGUGGGGGAUAACGCAGCGAAAGCUGUGCUAAUACCGCAUACGAUCUAUGGAUGAAAGCGGGGGAUCGCAAGACCUCGCGCGAUUGGAGCGGCCGAUAUCAGAUUAGCUAGUUGGUGGGGUAAAAGCCUACCAAGGCGACGAUCUGUAGCUGGUCUGAGAGGACGACCAGCCACACUGGAACUGAGACACGGUCCAGACUCCUACGGGAGGCAGCAGGUAGGGGAAUUUUGGACUAAGUGGGCGCGAAGCCCUGGAUCCAGGACUAAGUCGCCGCCGUG